Molecule: ribosomal RNA, 292 nt
Filed under: uncultured bacterium
Lineage: Bacteria
Description: partial 16S ribosomal RNA
Rfam family: Bacterial small subunit ribosomal RNA
Source: RNAcentral
GGAUUAGAUACCCUGGUAGUCCAUGCCGUAAACGUUGGGCACUAGAUGUGGGGGACAUUCCACGUUUUCCGCGUCGUAGCUAACGCAUUAAGUGCCCCGCCUGGGGAGUACGGCCGCAAGGCUAAAACUCAAAGGAAUUGACGGGGGCCCGCACAAGCGGCGGAGCAUGCUGAUUAAUUCGAUGCAACGCGAAGAACCUUACCAAGGCUUGACAUGGACCGGACGGCUGCAGAAAUGUGGCUUUCUUCGGGCUGGUUCACAGGUGGUGCAUGGUUGUCGUCAGCUCGUGCUG